UGGGUUUGACAUAUACCGGAAAGCCGUAGAGAUACGGCCCCCCUUGUGGUCGGUAUACAGGUGGUGCAUGGCUGUCGUCAGCUCGUGUCGUGAGAUGUUGGGUUAAGUCCCGCAACGAGCGCAACCCUCGUCUUAUGUUGCCAGCACGUAAUGGUGGGGACUCAUAAGAGACUGCCGGGGUCAACUCGGAGGAAGGUGGGGAUGACGUUUCCAGGUUAGG
This 220-nucleotide unclassified non-coding RNA is filed under the name uncultured Nocardioidaceae bacterium. RNAcentral describes it as "contains 16S-23S intergenic spacer region". It matches the Rfam family "Bacterial small subunit ribosomal RNA", at positions 976 to 1194 of the family's 1533-position model. Lineage: Bacteria; Bacillati; Actinomycetota; Actinomycetes; Propionibacteriales; Nocardioidaceae. The record is from RNAcentral.